UUGAUAACAGGGAAAGGACCUUGAACUGGGCUAGGCUCAACAUGCAACAACAUAAUCUGCAACAGCUGGAGGAACCUUUCUCUGAAGAAGUGGUGAAAGAAGUGAUCAUGCAUAUGCAAUCUGAAAAGGCAGCUUUAUUGAUAUUUUCUUCAAAACCACAUGGGAUAUUAUCAGGUGUGAUCUGAUGGCAGCGGCGAACUAUUUUUUUGAACAGAGGCGUCAACACUUCAAG
RNAcentral lists this long non-coding RNA (232 nucleotides) under Setaria italica (foxtail millet). RNAcentral's name for it is "long non-coding RNA (SITA_LNC004326)". The record is from RNAcentral. Lineage: Eukaryota; Viridiplantae; Streptophyta; Magnoliopsida; Poales; Poaceae.